UACGUAGGGGGCAAGCGUUGUCCGGAUUUAUUGGGCGUAAAGAGCGUGUAGGCGGCCUGAAAGGUCAGCUGUGAAAACUCGAGGCUCAACCUCGAGACGUCGGUUGAAACCAUCUGGCUAGAGUCCGGAAGAGGAGAGUGGAAUUCCCGGUGUAGCGGUGAAAUGCGCAGAUAUCGGGAAGAACACCCGUGGCGAAGGCGGCGCUCUGGGACGGUACGGACGCUGAGACGCGAAAGCGUGGGGAGCGAACAGG
Molecule: ribosomal RNA, 253 nt
Filed under: uncultured bacterium
Lineage: Bacteria
Description: partial 16S ribosomal RNA
Rfam family: Bacterial small subunit ribosomal RNA
Source: RNAcentral